Molecule: unclassified non-coding RNA, 271 nt
Filed under: Hevea brasiliensis (rubber tree)
Lineage: Eukaryota; Viridiplantae; Streptophyta; Magnoliopsida; Malpighiales; Euphorbiaceae
Source: RNAcentral
AAAGAAUUUUGAGAGGCUCUCUUUCCUAUAUCUAAUAACAGGAAAUGUGGAGAAGUUAUCUAAAAUGAUGAAAAUUGCUGAGGUCAAAAAUGAAGUAAUGGGUCAGUUCCAUGAUGCCUUGUACCUCGGUGAUGUCCGCGAGCGUGUUAAAAUUUUGGAAAAUGCUGGUCAUCUGCCCCUUGCGUACAUCACAGCUACUGUCCAUGGGCUCAAUGAUACCGCUGAGCGUCUUGCGGAGGAAGUGGGGGAUAAUGUUCCAUCAUUGCCAAAG